Molecule: ribosomal RNA, 497 nt
Filed under: uncultured bacterium
Lineage: Bacteria
Description: partial 16S ribosomal RNA
Rfam family: Bacterial small subunit ribosomal RNA
Source: RNAcentral
GAUGAACGCUGGCGGCGUGCCUAAUACAUGCAAGUCGAGCGAACGGACGAGGAGCUUGCUCCUUUGACGUCAGCGGCGGACGGGUGAGUAACACGUGGAUAACCUACCUAUAAGACUGGGAUAACUUCGGGAAACCGGAGCUAAUACCGGAUAAUAUAUUGAACCGCAUGGUUCAAUAGUGAAAGACGGUUUUGCUGUCACUUAUAGAUGGAUCCGCGCCGCAUUAGCUAGUUGGUAAGGUAACGGCUUACCAAGGCAACGAUGCGUAGCCGACCUGAGAGGGUGAUCGGCCACACUGGAACUGAGACACGGUCCAGACUCCUACGGGAGGCAGCAGUAGGGAAUCUUCCGCAAAGGGCGAAAGCCUGACGGAGCAACGCCGCGUGAGUGAUGAAGGUCUUCGGAUCGUAAAACUCUGUUAUUAGGGAAGAACAAAUGUGUAAGUAACUAUGCACGUCUUGACGGUACCUAAUCAGAAAGCCACGGCUAACUACGUG